UUCAGCGACCAUACCAAGUGAAAAGCACCGGUUCUCGUCCGAUCACCGAAGAUAAGCUACGUUGGGUGACCGGUUGGGAUAACAAGGUGUUGCUGACA
This 98-nucleotide ribosomal RNA is filed under the name Schistocephalus solidus. The record is from RNAcentral. Lineage: Eukaryota; Metazoa; Platyhelminthes; Cestoda; Diphyllobothriidea; Diphyllobothriidae.